RNAcentral lists this ribosomal RNA (274 nucleotides) under uncultured bacterium. RNAcentral describes it as "partial 16S ribosomal RNA". It matches the Rfam family "Bacterial small subunit ribosomal RNA", at positions 523 to 796 of the family's 1533-position model. The record is from RNAcentral.
CUACGGAGGGUGCAAGCGUUACUCGGAAUCACUGGGCGUAAAGCGCGCGCAGGCGGGCUGAUAAGUUGGAUGUGAAAGCCUACGGCUCAACCGUAGAACUGCAUCCAAAACUGUCAGUCUAGAGUCUGGGAGGGGAAGAUGGAAUUAGUUGUGUAGGGGUAAAAUCCGUAGAGAUAACUAGGAAUACCAAAAGCGAAGGCGAUCUUCUGGAACAGUACUGACGCUGAGGCGCGAAAGCGUGGGGAGCAAACAGGAUUAGAAACCCUGGUAGUCC